Molecule: ribosomal RNA, 446 nt
Filed under: uncultured bacterium
Lineage: Bacteria
Description: bacterial SSU rRNA
Rfam family: Bacterial small subunit ribosomal RNA
Source: RNAcentral
ACUCCUACGGGAGGCAGCAGUGGGAAUAUUGGACAAUGGGCGCAAGCCUGAUCCAGCCAUGCCGCGUGAGUGAAGAAGGCCUUAGGGUUGUAAAGCUCUUUCACCCGCGAAGAUGAUGACGGUAGCGGGAGAAGAAGCCCCGGCUAACUCCGUGCCAGCAGCCGCGGUAAUACGGAGGGGCAAGCGUUGUUCGGAAUUACUGGGCGUAAAGGGCGCGUAGGCGGUCUGUUGCGUCAGGUGUGAAAGCCCGGCGUCAACCAUGGGAGGUGCACUUGAUACGGGCGGACUGGAAUCCGGGAGAGGAUGGUGGAAUUCCCAGUGUAGAGGUGAAAUUCGUAGAUAUUGGGAAGAACACCGAUGGCGAAGGCAGCCAUCUGGACCGGUAUUGACGCUGAGGCGCGAAAGCGUGGGGAGCAAACAGGAUUAGAUACCCUGGUAGGCUCUGC